This 507-nucleotide ribosomal RNA is filed under the name Triticum aestivum (bread wheat). RNAcentral's name for it is "partial small subunit ribosomal RNA". Lineage: Eukaryota; Viridiplantae; Streptophyta; Magnoliopsida; Poales; Poaceae. The record is from RNAcentral.
AUGGCGAUUAUCUCCGAGGACAUCAUGCAGGAGGACGAUGUUUCGACGCAGCCGCAGCACGCCGUGAAGGAGAACAGCACGGAAGUGGAGAAGAAGGAGAAGGACGAGAGCAAGGGGAGACAGCCAAACUCGGGCAACGGCCUCGACCUGGAGAAGUACUCGUGGGCGCAGCAGCUACCAGAGGUGAACAUCUCCGUCCCCCUCCCUGAAGGAACGAAGGCGAGGUUCGUCGUCUGCGAGAUCAAGAAGGACCACCUCAAGGUCGGACUCAAGGGCCAGCCUCCCAUCAUCGAUGGUGAGCUGCACAAACCAGUUAAGGUCGAGGACUGCUUCUGGAGCAUCGAGGACGGAAGCUUGCUGUCCAUACUGCUGACGAAGCGUAAUCAGAGCGACUGGUGGAAAUCGCUGAUCAAAGGCGAUCCGGAGAUCGACACCCAGCGCGCCGAGCCGGAGAGCAGCAAGCUCUCGGAUCUGGACCCGGAGACCAGGGACGAAGCUCCCUUGUAG